RNAcentral lists this small RNA (456 nucleotides) under uncultured Paraglomus. Its description in RNAcentral is "SSU rRNA". It matches the Rfam family "Eukaryotic small subunit ribosomal RNA", at positions 569 to 1031 of the family's 1831-position model. The record is from RNAcentral. Lineage: Eukaryota; Fungi; Glomeromycota; Glomeromycetes; Paraglomerales; Paraglomeraceae.
AGCAGCCGCGGUAAUUCCAGCUCCAAUAGCGUAUAUUAAAGUUGUUGUGGUUAAAAAGCUCGUAGUUGAACCUUGGGCCUGGCUGGCCGGUCCGCCUCACCGCGUGUACUGGUCCGGCCGGGCCUUUCCCUCUGUGGAACCCCAUGCCCUUCACUGGGUGUGACGGGGAAACAGGACUUUUACUGUGAAAAAUUAGAGUGCUCCAGGCAGGCCUAUGCUCGAAUACAUUAGCAUGGAAUAAUAGAAUAGGACGUGUGGUUCUAUUUUGUUGGUUUCUGGGACCGCCGUAAUGAUUAAUAGGGACAGUCGGGGGCAUCAGUAUUCAAUUGUCAGAGGUGAAAUUCUUGGAUUUAUUGAAGACUAACUACUGCGAAAGCAUUUGCCAAGGAUGUUUUCAUUAAUCAGGAACGAAAGUUAGGGGAUCGAAGACGAUCAGAUACCGUCGUAGUCUUAACC